UACGAAGGGGGCUAGCGUUGCUCGGAAUCACUGGGCGUAAAGCGCACGUAGGCGGCUCUUUAAGUCAGGGGUGAAAUCCUGGAGCUCAACUCCAGAACUGCCUUUGAUACUGAGGGGCUCGAGUCCGGGAGAGGUGAGUGGAACUGCGAGUGUAGAGGUGAAAUUCGUAGAUAUUCGCAAGAACACCAGUGGCGAAGGCGGCUCACUGGCCCGGUACUGACGCUGAGGAGCGAAAGCCAGGGGAGCAAACGGG
RNAcentral lists this ribosomal RNA (253 nucleotides) under uncultured bacterium. RNAcentral's name for it is "partial 16S ribosomal RNA". It matches the Rfam family "Bacterial small subunit ribosomal RNA", at positions 524 to 776 of the family's 1533-position model. The record is from RNAcentral.